This 222-nucleotide unclassified non-coding RNA is filed under the name Bolboschoenus yagara. Lineage: Eukaryota; Viridiplantae; Streptophyta; Magnoliopsida; Poales; Cyperaceae. The record is from RNAcentral.
UCGUCGACUUUGGAUAACACGACCCGCGCACACGUUACGGAAAGCCGUCGGGGAGGACUCGCCUCCUCGGCCCCCACCGGCCUUGGCCGGCCGCGCCCUCUGGGCGGUGCUGGUCAUGUGUCGGAAUACGGCGCAGGAUGACGCCAAGGAACACAUAUUGCUGAGGCAGACGGCGAUCCCGUGCUCGGGUGUCGUGUCGGCUGUCGAGGCUCGGAAAAGGAA